This 253-nucleotide ribosomal RNA is filed under the name uncultured bacterium. RNAcentral describes it as "partial 16S ribosomal RNA". It matches the Rfam family "Bacterial small subunit ribosomal RNA", at positions 524 to 776 of the family's 1533-position model. The record is from RNAcentral.
UACGGAGGGUGCAAGCGUUAUCCGGAUUCACUGGGUUUAAAGGGUGCGUAGGCGGGCAGGUAAGUCAGAGGUGAAAUCUCCGGGCUUAACCCGGAAACUGCCUUUGAUACUAUCUGUCCUGAAUAUGGUGGAGGUAAGCGGAAUAUGUCAUGUAGCGGUGAAAUGCUUAGAGAUGACAUAGAACACCUAUUGCGAAGGCAGCUUACUACGCCUAUAUUGACGCUGAGGCACGAAAGCGUGGGGAUCAAACAGG